GUAAAGAAACCGACUGGAUUGUUCACCCACUAAUAGGGAGUGUGAGCUGGGUUCAGACCAUCGUGAGACAGGUUAGUUUGACCUUACUGUGGACUAACUGUUCCGAUAGUAAUCCUGCUUAUUACGAGAGGAACAGCAGGUUCAGACAUUUGGUUCAUUGACUUGACCGAUCGGUCAAUGGUUCGGUAGCUAACAUCUGGGGUGGUAGUAGUUUGGUCGAAAGUGGAAAUUAAUAGAUAACUUCAAGUGGCAUCUAAGUCCGACUUAACAUUCCUGAUUUGGAGGAAAUUAGCGGGUAAUCGUCACUCAUAUAACACGAAAUAUUAAGUUCACACUCGCUUUCAUGGGGAACUGAUUACUCGGCCGCUGGCCUACAAUCUGACAUCACAACCUUUGAACCACAGUGCACACGUUUCUGUUAUUAAACGAUGUUCAUCAUUAACCAUAGGGUUAUAUAGAACAAUGCAAAAACCCAUAACAUCACGGGAAUCGAACCUUUGACUACGCUCGCAUAA
This 515-nucleotide ribosomal RNA is filed under the name Ancylostoma caninum (dog hookworm). RNAcentral's name for it is "eukaryotic LSU rRNA". The stretch from base 1 to 454 matches the Rfam family "Eukaryotic large subunit ribosomal RNA", at positions 2905 to 3401 of the family's 3401-position model. Lineage: Eukaryota; Metazoa; Nematoda; Chromadorea; Rhabditida; Ancylostomatidae. The record is from RNAcentral.